AAAAAGGCAAACCCUGGGUUUCCGUGUCCAAUUUUGACUGUCCGUUUUAUGUGAAAUUUUUUAUAAUUCAUAUUUUUAUUGUUGUUAGAUGAUAAAAUAUGAUUAAUAUUUUAUGCGUGACUUGUCUUUUUAAUUUUUUUUAAAAUUUUUUCAAAUAAGACGGACGGUCAAACGUUGGGCACGGAAACC
RNAcentral lists this microRNA precursor (189 nucleotides) under Oryza glumipatula. RNAcentral describes it as "MIR812 microRNA precursor family". It matches the Rfam family "MIR812 microRNA precursor family". Lineage: Eukaryota; Viridiplantae; Streptophyta; Magnoliopsida; Poales; Poaceae. The record is from Rfam by way of RNAcentral.